This 71-nucleotide transfer RNA is filed under the name Marmota monax (woodchuck). RNAcentral's name for it is "tRNA.Ala". The record is from RNAcentral. Lineage: Eukaryota; Metazoa; Chordata; Mammalia; Rodentia; Sciuridae.
GGGGUUGCGGCUCAGCGGUAGAGCGCUCGCCUAGCACGUGCGACGCACUGGGUUUGAUCCUCAGCACCACA